Molecule: transfer RNA, 96 nt
Filed under: Streptomyces lateritius
Lineage: Bacteria; Bacillati; Actinomycetota; Actinomycetes; Kitasatosporales; Streptomycetaceae
Description: tRNA-Arg(ccg)
Source: RNAcentral
CCGUGGAGGGGUGCCCUGGCCCGCGGGGCCUUCGGCCUCCGGGGUCGCCGGAGGCUCGCCCGCCGGCGAGGCCGGCUCGGCGGCCGGCUCCUCGGC